AGGGACAUAGCUCACUGGUAGAGCAUUUGCUUUGUAUGCAGAAGGUCCCAAGUUCCAUUCCUGGCAUUUCUA
Non-coding RNA from Podarcis lilfordi (Lilford's wall lizard), 72 nucleotides. Lineage: Eukaryota; Metazoa; Chordata; Lepidosauria; Squamata; Lacertidae. The record is from the annotation of a GenBank genome assembly.